AUCUGGUAAGGCUAAAUACUCCCUAGCGACCGAUAGUGAAGCAGUACCGUGAGGGAAAGGUGAAAAGCACCCCGGGAGGGGAGUGAAAUAGAACCUGAAACCGUGUGCUUACAAGAAGUCAGAGCCCGUUCAAUGGGUGAUGGCGUGCCUUUUGUAGAAUGAACCGGCGAGUUACGUUCCCAUGCAAGGUUAAGGCGAGAAGCCGUAGCCGCAGCGAAAGCGAGUCUGAAUAGGGCGAGUGAGUAUGUGGGCGUAGACCCGAAACCGUGUGAUCUACCCCUGUCCAGGGUGAAGGUGCGGUAACACGCACUGGAGGCCCGAACCCACGUACGUUGAAAAGUGCGGGGAUGAGGUGGGGGUAGCGGA
This 366-nucleotide ribosomal RNA is filed under the name Paenibacillus campinasensis. RNAcentral describes it as "partial 23S ribosomal RNA". It matches the Rfam family "Bacterial large subunit ribosomal RNA", at positions 455 to 822 of the family's 2925-position model. Lineage: Bacteria; Bacillati; Bacillota; Bacilli; Caryophanales; Paenibacillaceae. The record is from RNAcentral.